Molecule: transfer RNA, 82 nt
Filed under: Besnoitia besnoiti
Lineage: Eukaryota; Apicomplexa; Conoidasida; Eucoccidiorida; Sarcocystidae
Rfam family: tRNA
About the family: Transfer RNA (tRNA) molecules are approximately 80 nucleotides in length.
Source: Rfam by way of RNAcentral
GGCGGUGUGUCCGAGUGGUUAAGGAGAUGGACUAGAAAUCCAUUAGGCUCUGCCUAAGCAGGUUCGAAUUCUGCCGCCGUCG